GUCUCAAUAGCUCAGCGGUUUAGAGCACUGGUCUCGUAAACCAGGGGUCGUGGGUUCGAAUCUCACUUGGGGCA
Molecule: transfer RNA, 74 nt
Filed under: Octopus bimaculoides (California two-spot octopus)
Lineage: Eukaryota; Metazoa; Mollusca; Cephalopoda; Octopoda; Octopodidae
Description: transfer RNA threonine (anticodon CGU)
Rfam family: tRNA
About the family: Transfer RNA (tRNA) molecules are approximately 80 nucleotides in length.
Source: RNAcentral